Molecule: long non-coding RNA, 665 nt
Filed under: Vigna radiata
Lineage: Eukaryota; Viridiplantae; Streptophyta; Magnoliopsida; Fabales; Fabaceae
Description: long non-coding RNA (VRAD_LNC010112)
Source: RNAcentral
GUCUGGCACCUCAAGCUCAAGUUUUUCUUUCUGUUAUCGGCCCUCUGCGUGGCAAUGGUCGGAUUUAAAUUUCUGUUCUGUGAGUUUGGCCCUCUGCGAGGCAAUGGUCAAAUCCAGGUUUUAUUUUUCUGUUAUCGGCCUUCUGCGUGGCAAUGGUCGGAUUUAAAUUUUUGUUCUGUGAGUUUGGCCCUCUGCGAGGCAAUGGUCAAAUCCAGGUUUUAUUUUUCUGUUAUCGGCCCUCUGCGUUCUGCGAGUUUGGCCCUCUGCGAGGCAAUGGUCAAAUCCAGGUUUUAUUUUUCUGUUAUCGGCCCUCUGCGUGGCAAUGGUCGGAUUUAAAUUUCUGUUCUGCGAGUUUGGCCCUCUACGAGGCAAUGGUCGGAUUUAAAUUUCUGUUCUGUGAGUUUGGCCCUCUGCGAGGCAAUGGUCAAAUCCAGGUUUUAGUUUUCUGUUAUUGGCCCUCUGCUUGACAUUGGUCUUUUGGCAUCGCGACUUAAAUCAUUUUUUCGUUCGCUUUCUUUCGUAUUUGAAACCCAGACGAAAUUAGUGUUUCUAUCUUUACUUAACUUUUACUCAGAUAAUACGAAAAUAUCACAUUUUCCUAUUAUCCAGUAAAAUCUAAGUAAAGAGGGGCAGCUGUCAACACCCAAUUUCGUUCGGGUGACUAA